UUCUCAGCCAUAUACAUAGUUCAUUGUUUAUGUUUCUGACUGAUAAUGACUCAUCAGAGCCCUGAAGCCACCUGAAUGUCCCCAACAGGCUGCACAGUGCCAAGGACGCUUCCAUAGCCUGAGUGGAUAAAAACUGUAAUACGUCCUAACACAGAAGACAGAGGGUAAUGCUAAUCAGCAGCUCUUCUUGCUAACUAAGUUUCCAGGAAUAUACAUUGUAUCUUGGGACAGUUACCAGAGAUUAACAAAGCAUCCUGCUGUGAGGUACCAUUGGAAAGACAGCAUUCUUUCACUUGGACAGCCCUCUAGUGCUCUCCUUUGUGUACAAGUCCACACUGGUGCUGUUUAAUGGAUCCUGGGAGUCUACCAGCUGAGCCCCUGCUUUCCUGGAAAAAUCUAUUAGCUGGAAUGUGUGGUUUCCCAAUAUUACCUUUCAAGAUCUGGAGGUUCCGUGCAAUCCAGAGCGCUACAUCUCUUCUAGUGGACUCGGUCAUGUGUUGAUUUUAACCUGACUCCACGAAGAGUGUUGCCCUGUUUACUGGCUGAAGAGAGAUCCCAGCAAUGCCCAGGAGACUUACACAGCAACUAAGGAGUCAUAAUCCUGUGGCAUAAUGAAGGCGAGGGUUGAUUCA
This 632-nucleotide long non-coding RNA is filed under the name Calidris pygmaea (Spoon-billed sandpiper). RNAcentral describes it as "lncRNA (ENSCPGG00000014765.1)". Lineage: Eukaryota; Metazoa; Chordata; Aves; Charadriiformes; Scolopacidae. The record is from RNAcentral.